UAAGGUGAGCGAGAGAACUAUGGUUAAGGAACUCGGCAAAAUGACCCCGUAACUUCGGGAGAAGGGGUGGUCUAGCGAUAGACCCGCAGUGAAUAGGCCCAGGCAACUGUUUACCAAAAACACAGGUCUCUGCUAACACGUAAGUGGAUGUAUAGGGGCUGACGCCUGCCCAGUGCUGGAAGGUUAAAGAGAUUAGUUAGUAUGACGUAAGUCGAUAAUACGAAGCUUUGAACUGAAGCCCCAGUGAACGGCGGCCGUAACUAUAACGGUCCUAAGGUAGCGAAAUUCCUUGUCAGGUAAGUUCUGACCCGCACGAAAGGCGUAAUGAUCUGGGUACUGUCUCAACCAUAGACUCGGUGAAAUCUUAAUACCUGUGAAAAUGCAGGUUACCCGCGACUGGACGGAAAGACCCCGUGGAGCUUUACUGUAGCUUGAUAUUGGGAUUCGGUAAAUUAUGUAGAGCAUAGGUGGGAGACUAUGAGAUUAAGGCGCCAGCCUUAAAGGAGUCAUCAUUGGAAUACCACCCUUAGUUUAUUGAAUUUCUAACCUAGGACCAUGAUCUGGUUCAGGGACAGUGUCUGGUGGGCAGUUUGACUGGGGCGGUCGCCUCCUAAAAUGUAACGGAGGCGUUCAAAGGUUCCCUCAGAAUGGUUGGAAAUCAUUCGCAGAGCGUAAAGGUAUAAAGGGAGCUUGACUGCGAGACCUACAAGUCAAGCAGGUGCGAAAGCAGGACUUAGUGAUCAGGCGAUUCAGAAUGGAAUGGUCGUCGCUUAACGGAUAAAAGUUACCCUGGGGAUAACAGGCUGAUACCACCCAAUAGUUCACAUAGACGGUGGUGAUUGGCACCUCGAUGUCGGCUCGUCACAUCCUGGAGCUGGAUUCGGUUCCAAGGGUUGGGCUGUUCGCCCAUUAAAGUGGCACGCGAGCUGGGUUCAGAACGUCGUGAGACAGUUCGGUCCCUAUCCGUCGUGGGCGCAGGAAAAUUGAGGAGAGCUAUCCUUAGUACGAGAGGACCGGGAUGGACCUACCUCUGGUGUAUCUGUUGUCACGCCAGUGGCAGUGCAGAGUAGCUAUGUAGGGAAGGGAUAAACGCUGAAAGCAUCUAAGCGUGAAGCCCUCUCCAAGAUGAGUUUUCCCAUUGUUUAACAAGUAAAAUCCCAGAUAGACUAACUGGUUGAUAGGCUAGAAGUGGAAGUGUAGCGAUACAUUGAGCGGACUAGUACUAAUAGAUUGAGGAUUUAAUCC
RNAcentral lists this ribosomal RNA (1245 nucleotides) under human gut metagenome. RNAcentral's name for it is "bacterial LSU rRNA". It matches the Rfam family "Bacterial large subunit ribosomal RNA", at positions 1682 to 2925 of the family's 2925-position model. The record is from RNAcentral.